GAUGAACGCUGGCGGCGUGCCUAAUACAUGCAAGUCGAGCGAACAGAUAAGGAGCUUGCUCCUUUGACGUUAGCGGCGGACGGGUGAGUUACACGUGGAUAACCUACCUAUAAGACUGGGAUAACUUCGGGAAACCGGAGCUAAUACCGGAUAACAUAUUGAACCGCAUGGUUCAAUAGUGAAAGGCGGCUUUGCUGUCACUUAUAGAUGGAUCCGCGCCGUAUUAGCUAGUUGGUAAGGUAACGGCUUACCAAGGCAACGAUACGUAGCCGACCUGAGAGGGUGAUCGGCCACACUGGAACUGAGACACGGUCCAGACUCCUACGGGAGGCAGCAGUAGGGAAUCUUCCGCAAUGGGCGAAAGCCUGACGGAGCAACGCCGCGUGAGUGAUGAAGGUCUUCGGAUCGUAAAACUCUGUUAUCAGGGAAGAACAAAUGUGUAAGCAACUGUGCACAUCUUGACGGUACCUGAUCAGAAAGCCACGGCUAACUACGUG
RNAcentral lists this ribosomal RNA (497 nucleotides) under uncultured bacterium. RNAcentral's name for it is "partial 16S ribosomal RNA". It matches the Rfam family "Bacterial small subunit ribosomal RNA", at positions 28 to 507 of the family's 1533-position model. The record is from RNAcentral.